CAAGGAUGAAACUCAAAGGAAUUGACGGGGACCCGCCAAGCCGGGGGAGUAUGUUCUUUAAUUCGAUGCAACGCGAAGAACCUUACCUGGGCUUGACAUCACCGAAAUCACCUUUAUACGGUGAGUGCCUCGAUUUAUCGAGGAAUCGUGUGACAGGUGCUGCAUGGCUGUCGUCAGUUCGUGUCGUGAGAUGUUGGGUUAAGUCCCGCAACGAACGCAACCCCUGUCUUUAGUUACCAGCAUUAAGUUGGGGACUCUAGAGAGACUGCCAAGGUGACAACUUGGAGGAAGGUGGGGACGACGUCAAGUCAUCAUGGUCCUUACGUCCAGGGCUAGGAACGUACUACAAUGGUUGGCACAGAGGGCAGCAACACAGCGAUGUGAAGCAAAUCCUUAAAACCAACCUCAGUUCGGAUUGGAGUCUGCAACUCGACUCCAUGAAGUUGGAAUCGCUAGUAAUCGCGGAUCAGCAAUGCCGCGGUGAAUACGUUCCCGGGUCUUGUACACACCGCCCGUCAAGUCAA
This 524-nucleotide ribosomal RNA is filed under the name uncultured candidate division MSBL2 bacterium. RNAcentral describes it as "bacterial SSU rRNA". It matches the Rfam family "Bacterial small subunit ribosomal RNA", at positions 889 to 1405 of the family's 1533-position model. The record is from RNAcentral.